GGGACACGUGGUAUCCUGUCUGAAUAUGGGGGGACCAUCCUCCAAGGCUAAAUACUCCUGACUGACCGAUAGUGAACCAGUACCGUGAGGGAAAGGCGAAAAGAACCCCGGCGAGGGGAGUGAAAAAGAACCUGAAACCGUGUACGUACAAGCAGUGGGAGCACAGGUUUACCUGUGUGACUGCGUACCUUUUGUAUAAUGGGUCAGCGACUUAUAUUCUGUAGCAAGGUUAACCGUAUAGGGGAGCCGCAGGGAAACCGAGUCUUAACCGGGCGUUAAGUUGCAGGGUAUAGACCCGAAACCCGGUGAUCUAGCCAUGGGCAGGUUGAAGGUUGGGUAACACUAACUGGAGGACCGAACCGACUAAUGUUGAAAAAUUAGCGGAUGACCUGUGGCUGGGGGUGAAAGGCCAAUCAAACCGGGAGAUAGCUGGUUCUCCCCGAAAGCUAUUUAGGUAGCGCCUCGUGAAUUCAUCUCCGGGGGUAGAGCACUGUUUCGGCUAGGGGGCCAUCCCGGCUUACCAACCCGAUGCAAACUGCGAAUACCGGAGAAUGUUAUCACGGGAGACACACGGCGGGUGCUAACGUCCGUCGUGAAGAGGGAAACAACCCAGACCGCCAGCUAAGGUCCCAAAGUCAUGGUUAAGUGGGAAACGAUGUGGGAAGGCCCAGACAGCCAGGAUGUUGGCUUAGAAGCAGCCAUCAUUUAAAGAAAGCGUAAUAGCUCACUGGUCGAGUCGGCCUGCGCGGAAGAUGUAACGGGGCUAAACCAU
RNAcentral lists this ribosomal RNA (772 nucleotides) under Salmonella enterica subsp. enterica serovar Derby. RNAcentral's name for it is "partial 23S ribosomal RNA". It matches the Rfam family "Bacterial large subunit ribosomal RNA", at positions 419 to 1190 of the family's 2925-position model. The record is from RNAcentral. Lineage: Bacteria; Pseudomonadati; Pseudomonadota; Gammaproteobacteria; Enterobacterales; Enterobacteriaceae. RNAcentral also lists the same sequence under 1 other name.